GAUGAACGCUGGCGGCGUGCUUAACACAUGCAAGUCGAACGGAAAGGCCCUGCUUUUGUUGGUUGCUCGAUUGGCGAACGGGGGAGUAACACGUGAGUGACCUGCCCUUGUCUGUGGGAUAACUUCAGGAAACUGGGGCGAAUACCGCAGAGGAGCUCCGGCUGCAUGGGGGGGUUUGGAAAGUUUAGGCGGUUGGGGAUGUACUCGCGGGUAACGCGCUUGUUUGUGGAGUAGUGGCUUACCAAGGCUUUGACGGGUAGCCGGCCUGAGAGGGGUAACGGCCACCAUGGGACUGAGAUAGGGACCAGAAGCGAACGGGAGGCAGCAGGGGGGAAUAUUGCAGAACGGGCGGAAGCCUGAUGCAGAGACGCCGGGUGCGGGAAGCUGGCCUUCGGGUUGUAAACAGAUUUCGAAGGAGCCGAAGAGUGCGUGACGGUAAUGGGUAAAGAAGCAACGGCUAACUACGUG
RNAcentral lists this ribosomal RNA (468 nucleotides) under uncultured bacterium. RNAcentral's name for it is "partial 16S ribosomal RNA". It matches the Rfam family "Bacterial small subunit ribosomal RNA", at positions 28 to 507 of the family's 1533-position model. The record is from RNAcentral.